CAAAAAGUAGCUUAAUUUAAAGCAUUUGACCUACAAUCAAAAUAUAUUAUACUUAAUCUUUUUGA
This 65-nucleotide transfer RNA is filed under the name Gerrhopilus ceylonicus (Jan's worm snake). RNAcentral's name for it is "transfer RNA-Val". It matches the Rfam family "tRNA". Rfam says of the family: Transfer RNA (tRNA) molecules are approximately 80 nucleotides in length. Their secondary structure includes four short double-helical elements and three loops (D, anti-codon, and T loops). The record is from RNAcentral. Lineage: Eukaryota; Metazoa; Chordata; Lepidosauria; Squamata; Gerrhopilidae.